This 2937-nucleotide ribosomal RNA is filed under the name anaerobic digester metagenome. RNAcentral's name for it is "bacterial LSU rRNA". It matches the Rfam family "Bacterial large subunit ribosomal RNA". The record is from RNAcentral.
UGAAGUGAAGAAGAGCACAGGGUGGAUGCCUUGGCGCCAGGUGCCGAUGAAGGACGCGGGACACUGCGAAAAGCCUCGGGGAGCCGUGCACAGGCUGCGAUCCGGGGAUGUCCGAAUGGGGAAACCCGCGGCCGCCGAACAAGCGGCCGCAUCCGGCCGUGAACACAUAGCGGUGCGGAGGGGCACCCGGGGAACUGAAACAUCUCAGUACCCGGAGGAAAAGAAAGAAUUCCCCCAGUAGUGGCGAGCGAACGGGGAAGAGCCCAAACCAGGCCCUGCGGGGUCUGGGGUUGAAGGGCCUGCCGACAAAGCCUGAAACGGAGCUAGCGGAAGGGCGUGGAAACGCCUGCCAGAGAGGGUGACAGCCCCGUACGCGAAAGUGAAGGGAAGGCGAGGCAGGUACCUGAGUACUGCCGGGCACGCUAAUCCGGCAGGAAGCUGGGGAGUCCACUCUCCAAGGCUAAAUACACCUGGCGACCGAUAGUGCACCAGUACCGUGAGGGAAAGGUGAAAAGUACCCCGGUGAGGGGAGUGAAAGAGAUCCUGAAACCCUGUGCUUACAAGCAGUUGGAGGGCGGUGCCCGGGCAACCGGGCCGCCUGACAGCGUGCCUCUUGGAGAAUGAGCCUGCGAGUUAAUCUGUGUGGCGAGGUUAAGCCAGCGACAGGCGGAGCCGGAGCGAAAGCGAGUCUGAACAGGGCGAGAAGUGGCACAGAUUAGACCCGAAACCGGGUGAGCUACCCAUGGCCAGGGUGAAGCGAGGGUAACAGCUCGUGGAGGCCCGCACCUACUAACGUUGCAAAGUUAGGGGAUGAGCUGUGGGUAGGGGUGAUAUGCCAAACGAACCCGGAGAUAGCUGGUUCUCCCCGAAAUAGCUUUAGGGCUAGCGCGGCGGGGAGUGUUCCGGAGGUAGAGCACUGAAUGGGCAAGGGGGCGUUACGCUUACCGACCCCAAUCAAACUCCGAAUGCCGGGACAUAUCUGCCGCAGUCGGACUGCGGGUGAUGAGAUUCGUGGUCGAGAGGGAAACAACCCAGAUCAUCGGCUAAGGUCCCCAAGUGACCGCUCAGUGGGAAACGAGGUGGGGUUACUGGAACAACCAGGAGGUUGGCUUAGAAGCAGCCACCCUUUAAAGAGUGCGUAAUAGCUCACUGGUCUAGUGAUCCUGCGCGGAAAAUUCAACGGGGCUAAGCGGUCCACCGAAGCCAUGGGCUCUUUGUAAAAAGAGCGGUAGGGGAGCGUUCUGCUCAGCGGAGAAGGUCGACCGGAAGGACGGCUGGAGCGGGCAGAAGUGAGAAUGCAGGCAUGAGUAGCGUAAAACACGUGAGAACCGUGUUCACCGUACAUCUAAGGGUUCCGACGCCAGGUCAAUCCGCGUCGGGUUAGUCGGGGCCUAAGCCGAGGCCGCAAGGCGUAGGCGAUGGACAGCCGGUCAACAUUCCGGCACCGCGGUUGGGGAGCGAGGCGGGGACGCAGUGAGGUAGGCCAGCCUGCGACUGGUUGUGCAGGUGCCUGCGCUGUCAGACGAAGAGGCCCACUGGCAAAUCCGUGGGCUGAGUUGAGAGCGCGGGGCGAGCCGUCAAGGCAUAAGUGAGCUGAGCCUGGCUGCCGAGAAAAGCCGCUAAGUGAUGAACCGACCGCGCCCGUACCGCAAACCGACACUGGUGGAUGGGUAGAGUAUACCAAGGUGAACGGGAGAACCUUCGUUAAGGAAUUAGGCAAAUUAGCCCCGUAACUUCGGGAGAAGGGGUGCCCCUGGGGGUGGGUCCGAAAGGGCGUAGCGUCUGGGGGUCGCAGUGAAAGGGUUCUAGUGACUGGUUACCAAAACCACAGGUCUCUGCCAAGUCGAAAGACGACGUAUAGGGGCUGACGCCUGCCCAGUGCCGGAAGGUUAAGGGGAGAGGUUAGCGUGAGCGAAGCUUUGAACCGAAGCCCCGGUGAACGGCGGCCGUAACUAUAACGGUCCUAAGGUAGCGAAAUUCCUUGUCGGGUAAGUUCCGACCCGCACGAACGGCGUAACAACUAGAACACUGUCUCAACGAAGGACCCGGUGAAAUUGAAAUGGCUGUGAAGAUGCGGCCUACCCGCAGCAGGACAAAAAGACCCCGUGGAGCUUUACUGCAGUUUGGCAUUGCAUUUGGGCAUGGCUUGUGUAGGAUAGGUGGGAGUCUGAGAACUCGGGCCGCCAGGCUCGGGGGAGACAGCGGUGAAAUACCACCCUGGCGAUGUUUAGAUCCUAACCUGGACCCGUAAACCGGGCCGGGGACCGUGCCAGAUGGGCAGUUUGACUGGGGCGGUCGCCUCCUAAAAGGUAACGGAGGCGCCCAAAGGUUCCCUCCGGGUGAAUGGAAACCACCCUGAGAGUGUAAAGGCAGAAGGGAGCUUGACUGCAAGACCAACGCGUCGCGCAGGGUCGAAAGACGGGCUUAGUGAUCCCACGGACCUGAGUGGAAGGGCCGUGGCUUACCGGAUAAAAGCUACCCCGGGGAUAACAGGCUGGUGAAGUCCAAGAGUUCACAUCGACGACUUCGCUCGGCACCUCGAUGUCGGCUCAUCGCAUCCUGGGGCUGGACAAGGUCCCAAGGGUCGGGCUGUUCGCCCGUUAAAGCGGUACGCGAGCUGGGUUCAGACCGUCGUGAGACAGGUCGGUCUCUAUCCGCUGUGGGCGUCAGGGAUUUGAGAGGAGCUGCCCCUAGUACGAGAGGACCGGGGUGGACAGACCGCUGGUGUGCCAGUUGUCGUGCCAACGGCAUCGCUGGGUAGCCACGUCUGGCAGGGAUAACCGCUGAAAGCAUCUAAGCGGGAAGCUCGCCUCAAGAUGAGAUCCCUCACUCCUUAGGGAGGUAAGAUCGCAGGAAGACCACCUGCUGGAUAGGCGGGAGGUGGAAGCGCUGCAAGGCGCGCAGCCAACCCGUACUAAUGAUCGAGGGCUUUGCGUG